RNAcentral lists this ribosomal RNA (451 nucleotides) under uncultured bacterium. Its description in RNAcentral is "SSU rRNA". It matches the Rfam family "Bacterial small subunit ribosomal RNA", at positions 26 to 518 of the family's 1533-position model. The record is from RNAcentral.
AGAGCGAACGCUGGCGGCAGGCCUAACACAUGCAAGUCGAGCGCCCCGCAAGGGGAGCGGCAGACGGGAGAGUAACACGUGGGACCAUGCCCUUCAGUACGGAACAACCAAGGGAAACUUUGGCUAAUACCGUAUACGCCCGUAAGGGAAGAUUUAUCGCUGAAGGAUUGGCCCGCGUCUGAUUAGCUAGUUGGUGGGGUAAUGGCCCACCAAGGCGACGAUCAGUAGCUGGUCUGAGAGGAUGAUCAGCCUCACUGGGACUGAGACACGGCCCAGACUCCUACGGGAGGCAGCAGUGGGAAUAUUGGACAAUGGGCGCAAGCCUGAUCCAGCCAUGCCGCGUGAGUGAUGAAGGCCUUAGGGUUGUAAAGCUCUUUCGUCAUCGACGAAGCCUCGUCGGGGUGACGGUAGGUGGAGAAGAAGCACCGGCCAACUACGUGCCAGCAGCCGC